Molecule: ribosomal RNA, 1359 nt
Filed under: uncultured bacterium
Lineage: Bacteria
Description: bacterial SSU rRNA
Rfam family: Bacterial small subunit ribosomal RNA
Source: RNAcentral
GAUGAACGCUAGCUACAGGCUUAACACAUGCAAGUCGAGGGGCGGCAUUUCAGUUUGCUUGCAAACUGGAGAUGGCGACCGGCGCACGGGUGAGUAACACGUAUCCAACCUGCCGAUAACUCGGGGAUAGCCUUUCGAAAGAAAGAUUAAUACCCGAUGGUAUAAUCAGACCGCAUGGUCUUGUUAUUAAAGAAUUUCGGUUAUCGAUGGGGAUGCGUUCCAUUAGGCAGUUGGUGAGGUAACGGCUCACCAAACCUUCGAUGGAUAGGGGUUCUGAGAGGAAGGUCCCCCACAUUGGAACUGAGACACGGUCCAAACUCCUACGGGAGGCAGCAGUGAGGAAUAUUGGUCAAUGGGCGCAGGCCUGAACCAGCCAAGUAGCGUGAAGGAUGACUGCCCUAUGGGUUGUAAACUUCUUUUAUAUGGGAAUAAAGUUUUCCACGUGUGGAAUUUUGUAUGUACCAUAUGAAUAAGGAUCGGCUAACUCCGUGCCAGCAGCCGCGGUAAUACGGAGGAUCCGAGCGUUAUCCGGAUUUAUUGGGUUUAAAGGGAGCGUAGGUGGACAGUUAAGUCAGUUGUGAAAGUUUGCGGCUCAACCGUAAAAUUGCAGUUGAUACUGGCUGUCUUGAGUACAGUAGAGGUGGGCGGAAUUCGUGGUGUAGCGGUGAAAUGCUUAGAUAUCACGAAGAACUCCGAUUGCGAAGGCAGCUCACUGGACUGCAACUGACACUGAUGCUCGAAAGUGUGGGUAUCAAACAGGAUUAGAUACCCUGGUAGUCCACACAGUAAACGAUGAAUACUCGCUGUUUGCGAUAUACAGUAAGCGGCCAAGCGAAAGCAUUAAGUAUUCCACCUGGGGAGUACGCCGGCAACGGUGAAACUCAAAGGAAUUGACGGGGGCCCGCACAAGCGGAGGAACAUGUGGUUUAAUUCGAUGAUACGCGAGGAACCUUACCCGGGCUUAAAUUGCAUUUGAAUAUAUUGGAAACAGUAUAGCCGUAAGGCAAAUGUGAAGGUGCUGCAUGGUUGUCGUCAGCUCGUGCCGUGAGGUGUCGGCUUAAGUGCCAUAACGAGCGCAACCCUUAUCUUUAGUUACUAACAGGUCAUGCUGAGGACUCUAGAGAGACUGCCGUCGUAAGAUGUGAGGAAGGUGGGGAUGACGUCAAAUCAGCACGGCCCUUACGUCCGGGGCUACACACGUGUUACAAUGGGGGGUACAGAAGGCAGCUACCUGGUGACAGGAUGCUAAUCCCAAAAGCCUCUCUCAGUUCGGAUCGAAGUCUGCAACCCGACUUCGUGAAGCUGGAUUCGCUAGUAAUCGCGCAUCAGCCAUGGCGCGGUGAAUACGUUCCCGGGCCU